AAAUUUCUAUCAUCCAGGGGCCACAAAUGGCCCCCAAGCCGCAUGUUGGAAACCCCUGAUGUACAUGUUGUGUCUCUUCUAUUUCAUUUCCUUCAAAGUUAAUUAUUCAUGUUUGAUCUCGUUUGGUUUUUGUUUAAUUCCUUGUGUUUUUGCCCAGUCCUGGUCUGAGGCUGGUUUGGUUUCCUCUGGUGCUGCUCAGCGCCUCCCACCGCUGACUGAUCCUGAUCCCGGCCCAGACUCACGAAGGGAAGGAAUCCAGCUCAGAGAUCUGCUGACUCCGCGCCGUUUGAGAUUCGCUCAAAGAGCGACGAGCGGCCUGGCAGCUCCUCCAGACUGCCGGUGAAGAGAGAGAAGAAGAGACGGCCGUUCAUCAUCAGGCUGAGUUUAAGCUGCUAUCGCUGCUUAAACGUCUCCGUUCAAUGUUCAGAGAAACGAGGCUCAUUUAGCUGCACUGCUAGCCUGUUACAGGUCUGAGCCUCAUGUGGAGAAAAAUCUGUAAAUUAAUCAGAACUACAACUCGUUUAUGCAGAUUAACUCUUUUUUAUGUCACAUUGCUGUCAGACGGGGUGAAUCUGAUCUUUAGUGGCUCACAGAUAUUUCCACACCAAAGAAAAUAACUAAUUUUAAAGCUUUAGAGAAUAAAAUCAUGAUUGUAACGCUGUAAAACCAAACAUUGCAACUAAACCUUUAAUUUAUGA
This is a long non-coding RNA of Poecilia latipinna (sailfin molly), 698 nucleotides long. RefSeq lists it as uncharacterized. Lineage: Eukaryota; Metazoa; Chordata; Actinopteri; Cyprinodontiformes; Poeciliidae. The transcript has 2 exons. The record is from RefSeq and is a predicted model, not a curated record.